Molecule: ribosomal RNA, 253 nt
Filed under: uncultured bacterium
Lineage: Bacteria
Description: partial 16S ribosomal RNA
Rfam family: Bacterial small subunit ribosomal RNA
Source: RNAcentral
CACGUAGGGUGCGAGCGUUGUCCGGAAUUAUUGGGCGUAAAGAGCUCGUAGGCGGUUUGUCGCGUCUGCCGUGAAAGUCCGGGGCUCAACUCCGGAUCUGCGGUGGGUACGGGCAGACUAGAGUGAUGUAGGGGAGACUGGAAUUCCUGGUGUAGCGGUGAAAUGCGCAGAUAUCAGGAGGAACACCGGUGGCGAAGGCGGGUCUCUGGGCCGUAACUGACGCUGAGGAGCGAAAGCGUGGGGAGCGAACAGG